This 79-nucleotide transfer RNA is filed under the name Streptomyces sp. AVP053U2. RNAcentral's name for it is "tRNA-Gly". Lineage: Bacteria; Bacillati; Actinomycetota; Actinomycetes; Kitasatosporales; Streptomycetaceae. The record is from RNAcentral.
GGCCCGCUGUCGGAAGCGGUGCCGGGUGCGGGCUACCGGCCCGUGGGGGUGUUCCGGGUUCGGGGGCCCGGCGGGGUCC